RNAcentral lists this ribosomal RNA (785 nucleotides) under uncultured bacterium. RNAcentral describes it as "bacterial SSU rRNA". It matches the Rfam family "Bacterial small subunit ribosomal RNA", at positions 8 to 798 of the family's 1533-position model. The record is from RNAcentral.
AGAGUUUGAUCCUGGCUCAGGACGAACGCUGGCGGCGUGCUUAACACAUGCAAGUCGAACGGUAAGGCCCUUCGGGGUACACGAGUGGCGAACGGGUGAGUAACACGUGGGUAAUCUGCCCUGCACAUCGGGAUAAGCCUGGGAAACUGGGUCUAAUACCGAAUAGGACCACAGGACACAUGUCCUGUGGUGGAAAGCUUUUGCGGUGUGGGAUGGGCCCGCGGCCUAUCAGCUUGUUGGUGGGGUGAUGGCCUACCAAGGCGACGACGGGUAGCCGGCCUGAGAGGGUGUCCGGCCACACUGGGACUGAGAUACGGCCCAGACUCCUACGGGAGGCAGCAGUGGGGAAUAUUGCACAAUGGGCGAAAGCCUGAUGCAGCGACGCCGCGUGGGGGAUGACGGCCUUCGGGUUGUAAACCUCUUUCACCAUCGACGAAGGUCCGGGUUUUCUCGGGCUGACGGUAGGUGGAGAAGAAGCACCGGCCAACUACGUGCCAGCAGCCGCGGUAAUACGUAGGGUGCGAGCGUUGUCCGGAAUUACUGGGCGUAAAGAGCUCGUAGGUGGUUUGUCGCGUUGUUCGUGAAAUCUCACGGCUUAACUGUGAGCGUGCGGGCGAUACGGGCAGACUUGAGUACUGCAGGGGAGACUGGAAUUCCUGAUGUAGCGGUGGAAUGCGCAGAUAUCAGGAGGAACACCGGUGGCGAAGGCGGGUCUCUGGGCAGUAACUGACGCUGAGGAGCGAAAGCGUGGGGAGCGAACAGGAUUAGAUACCCUGGUAGUCCAA